UACCAGCACCCCGAGUGGUCGGGACGUUUAUUGGGCCUAAAGCAUCCGUAGCCGGUUCUGCAAGUCUUCCGUUAAAUCCACCUGCUUAACAGAUGGGCCGCGGAAGAUACUAUAGAGCUAGGAGGCGGGAGAGGCAAGCGGUACUCGAUGGGUAGGGGUAAAAUCCGUUGAUCCAUUGAAGACCACCAGUGGCGAAGGCGGCUUGCCAGAACGCGCUCGACGGUGAGGGAUGAAAGCGUGGGUAGCGAACGGG
This 253-nucleotide ribosomal RNA is filed under the name uncultured bacterium. Its description in RNAcentral is "partial 16S ribosomal RNA". It matches the Rfam family "Archaeal small subunit ribosomal RNA", at positions 474 to 727 of the family's 1478-position model. The record is from RNAcentral.